Molecule: long non-coding RNA, 2206 nt
Filed under: Struthio camelus australis
Lineage: Eukaryota; Metazoa; Chordata; Aves; Struthioniformes; Struthionidae
Description: lncRNA (ENSSCUG00000014960.1)
Source: RNAcentral
GGCCCGAUCUGGGCACAGUGAAACUGGGACAGCUCUGUAAAUCCCUGGGCUGAAAACUUGGGGACCCCCAUGCCAGGCAGCUAAACCCUCCUUAUAGAGGGGCCAGAUGGCACCUGGCAAAGGAGUUGGCCCGGAGAUGGCCACCCUAGGGCAUGGGAUGGGAUAGCAGGGAUGGGGAUGAGGACGGGGACACAAGCCCAGCCCAGCACCCUGCCUGUCUCCAGGGUCCAAACACCCAUCACGGCCCCGUCUCGGUUUCAUUGCAGAGCCAGGACUGGACCAAGAACGAUGAGAAGCUCCUGCAAGCUGUGGAUUACAACGAUGCCGGGAGGGUGACAUCACUCCUCGUCCGCAAGGGGCUGGUCGCCACCAAGUUGGACUCGGAGGGCAAAUCCGCGUGAGUGCUGACCUGUAUCCUCCUGUCCCUGUGUCCACCCCGGUGCAGGCUGCUGGGCUCUCCUGGUCCCCUGAGCCACCCAGCGCUGCUCCUCGGGGCUUGCCGGGGGUUGGGGACAUGGGGCUGAUGGCCCUGGGCCUUGCUGCAGGUUCCACCUGGCCGCCAUGCGGGGGAACGUGGACUGCCUCGAAGCCAUGCUGGCCCACGGCGUGGAUGCCAUGACCAAGGACAGCUCAGGUUACACUGCCCUGCACUUGGCAUCCAAGCAUGGCCACCCGCAAUGUGUCAGCAAGCUGCUGCAGGUAAUGGGGCCUGGGUGCACGGCGCCGCGAGGGAGGCAGGGUGCCAUGCCCUGUGCCAUGCCCGACUCGGCCCCUUGCUCCAAGGGCACAGCCAGGCCCAACCUGCCUCGUCCUCCCUGCAUCCCUGGGAUGGCCACGCUCCCGUCCCUCUGCAGUGGCGUUGGUCGGCAUGGUGGUGCCUGGCUCUGGCCAGCACCAUGUGGUUUGGGGCUGGUGAUGAUGCUCUUCCACCACCAAGGAGCUCAAAGUGCCCCACAGUCCUGGCCCCUCAGGCAAUCCACCCCAUUCUCCUGUAACCCAGGCCCUCUCCCUCAGGCCUCCUGCCCCGUGGACGUGCCUGAUGGCAGCGGCCGGACGGCACUGCACCACGCAGGUGAGUGGGGACGAUGCCACCCCAUCCUGCUCGCAUCCCUGCAGGAGGCAAUACUCAGCCUCUGUCCUUCUCCCCAGCUGUCAGCGGCUGCAUCUCGUGCUCGGAGAUCCUCUGCGAUUUCAAGGCUCCAUUGAACAUCAAGGACAAGGUGAGAUCCCUCUGCUCAGCACCUGCUGUUGUAUGGAGGUCAAGUCCUCCGGCAGUGAUUAAACUCUACUGGGCCAGGUGAUGCUGCUGCGUAGAGCAGCCAAGGGCCAGGCUGAGGCUGCCUCUGAAAUGUGGCCACUUCUGGGGUGGGACACAGCAGCUAACUGCUGGCAGCACCUGGGGUCCCUGGGGUGCUGCUGUGAAAACACACUGCCCCUGCCCAGGAUGGCUUCACGCCGCUGAUCCUUGCUGCCAAGAUGAGCCACUCAGAGCUGUGCCGGUACCUGCUGCACCGUGGAGCGGCCGUGAACAGCCGGGACCUGCAAGGGAGGUGAGUCCCCCCCGAAGGGGACGGGGGGCCGACGGAGCGGACCGGACCCCUCACCUCUCCUCUCGUGGCUCUCCAGAACAGCCUUGAUGCUGGCCUGCGAGAACGGCAGCGUGGAGACCGUGGAGGUGCUCAUCAACGCGGGCGCCCGGGUGGCUGUGGUGGACUCCAUGGGCCACGACGCAGCUCACUACAGCCUGGCCACAGGCAAUGCUCUCAUCCAGCACUUCCUGCAGGAGGCCACCCAGCGCCGGUCCUGGGCCAGCGGUAAGGCGGCCACGCCGGCCUGAGCGCUCCCCGUCCUCGAGGGACUGCCCCACGGAUGUGUUUUCCCCCUGCACGGUGCUUUGGGGCAGCUGCCUCCCAGGAAGUCUUGUCCGUGACUUACAGAGCAUGGCCAGCCCUGAGCAGGGCUGGGCGAACACGUGUUCCCUUUCCCCAUGAGCUUGGGGUGCUUUCACCCAUGCUGUCACCAGCCGAGGGCUGGGAGGUGGUACUGAGCCUGGAUCUGCCUGUCCCAGUGCCUUAAUGAACUUGCACACAUGUGUUUGCACAUGCAUUUGCAAGCAUGGGGGUAUACACAGGUGUGUGUAUCAGAAAAUGCAUUUGUACAUGUCUGCACACGCAUGCACACGUGUGUGCGUCCCCAUGCGUGCACA